This is a long non-coding RNA of Gasterosteus aculeatus aculeatus (three-spined stickleback), 659 nucleotides long. Lineage: Eukaryota; Metazoa; Chordata; Actinopteri; Perciformes; Gasterosteidae. The record is from Ensembl.
CUCACAGGCCUCAACUGCAGAACGGCAUCGCAGCUGCUUUCACGUGGGCUGUUAUCAGCGUUAUUCAAACAAGGUGCUCUUAUCUUCUCAAUCUCCAGGCCGGCGCGCUCCUAACGGGCUGUGAUGCACUAUGGGCUACUUUAAUGGUUAAUGAGUCGAGAUGAAGAAAAAUGUUAAUGUUGAGGGACAUUCAAUACCAUUUUCUUUUCUCUUUUUUUUUGAUGUGCCUUCCUGCUUUUCGUUAAGCGAACGAGGCUGCAGGGAGGCCCGGCCCCCCUCUCAUCUGCAGCCUGUUAUGGCGGAGCGGGAGGAUGACAUCAUAUUGGUCUCGGAGCGGCAGCUGGUAAUUGGUCCGCUCUGCUCCUCCUGCGGCACGGGCCAAACAGAACACACAAGUGGAGCCAGGCAAUGCAAGUCAGAUGCACCGGGUUUUUCCAAGAGCGGCUGGUGGGGCCCCAACGCAGACCGAGAGCCAAAGAGGCCUCCAAAAAGGGGCGCACCGAUCCAACUGUAAAUUGACUUCCCCUAUUCUGCAAGAAAUGAGCACCCGGAAAACCUGGAGUGGAGUCAGCAUUUUUGGCAAUCCCGCACCUCUUUUCGACUUUUUAAAAAAAUACCGUUUUGCUUCGAUGUCUGGAAUAAAAAUGUGUGGUGAACAG